CUGGGUUUGAACUGUACAGGAAAGUCUCAGAGAUGAGAGCCCCUCUUCGGAGGACUGUAUAGAGGUGCUGCAUGGCUGUCGUCAGCUCGUGUCGUGAGAUGUUGGGUUAAGUCCCGCAACGAGCGCAACCCUUAUUCAUAGUUACUAACGCGUCAUGGCGAGAACUCUAUGGAGACUGCCGGUGAUAAACCGGAGAAAGGUGGGGAUGACGUCAAGUCCUCAUGGCCUUUAUGUCCAGGGCUACACACGUGCUACAAUGGACGGUACAGAGAGUCGCGAUGCCGCAAGGUGGAGCUAAUCUCAAAAAGCCGUUCUCAGUUCGGAUUGCAGUCUGCAACUCGACUGCAUGAAGUUGGAAUCGCUAGUAAUCGCGGAUCAGCACGCCGCGGUGAAUACGUUCCCGGGCCUUGUACACACCGCCCGUCACAUCACGAAAGUCGGUUGCACUAGAAGUCGGUGGGCUAACCCGCAAGGGAGGCAGCCGCCUAAAGUGUGAUCGGUAAUUGGGGUG
RNAcentral lists this ribosomal RNA (511 nucleotides) under uncultured bacterium. RNAcentral describes it as "bacterial SSU rRNA". It matches the Rfam family "Bacterial small subunit ribosomal RNA", at positions 975 to 1482 of the family's 1533-position model. The record is from RNAcentral.